UGGUGGAGCGAUUUGUCUGGUUAAUUCCGAUAACGAACGAGACUCUAGCCUACUAAAUAGACCAGCGGCUUCUCAAACGCCGGUGGGACUUCUUAGAGGGACAGGCGGCGAUUCAGCCGCACGAAACAGAGCAAUAACA
RNAcentral lists this ribosomal RNA (139 nucleotides) under uncultured eukaryote. Its description in RNAcentral is "partial 18S ribosomal RNA". It matches the Rfam family "Eukaryotic small subunit ribosomal RNA", at positions 1299 to 1458 of the family's 1831-position model. The record is from RNAcentral.